RNAcentral lists this ribosomal RNA (797 nucleotides) under uncultured bacterium. RNAcentral's name for it is "bacterial SSU rRNA". It matches the Rfam family "Bacterial small subunit ribosomal RNA", at positions 8 to 796 of the family's 1533-position model. The record is from RNAcentral.
AGAGUUUGAUCAUGGCUCAGGAUGAACGCUAGCGGCAGGCUUAAUACAUGCAAGUCGUGGGGCAGCAUGAUUGUAGCAAUACAAUUGAUGGCGACCGGCAAACGGGUGCGGAACACGUACACAACCUUCCUAUAAGUGGGGAAUAGCCCAGAGAAAUUUGGAUUAAUACCCCGUAACAUAACGAUGUGGCAUCACAUUGUUAUUAUAGCUUCGGCGCUUAUUGAUGGGUGUGCGGCUGAUUAGAUAGUUGGCGGGGUAACGGCCCACCAAGUCUACGAUCAGUAGCUGAUGUGAGAGCAUGAUCAGCCACACGGGCACUGAGACACGGGCCCGACUCCUACGGGAGGCAGCAGUAAGGAAUAUUGGUCAAUGGACGCAAGUCUGAACCAGCCAUGCCGCGUGAAGGAUUAAGGUCCUCUGGAUUGUAAACUUCUUUUAUCUGGGACGAAAAAAGGCGAUUCUUCGUCACUUGACGGUACCAGAUGAAUAAGCACCGGCUAACUCCGUGCCAGCAGCCGCGGUAAUACGGAGGGUGCAAGCGUUAUCCGGAUUCACUGGGUUUAAAGGGUGCGUAGGCGGGCAGGUAAGUCAGUGGUGAAAUCCUAGAGCUUAACUCUAGAACUGCCAUUGAUACUAUCUGUCUUGAAUAUUGUGGAGGUAAGCGGAAUAUGUCAUGUAGCGGUGAAAUGCUUAGAUAUGACAUAGAACACCUAUUGCGAAGGCAGCUUACUACGCAUAUAUUGACGCUGAGGCACGAAAGCGUGGGGAUCAAACAGGAUUAGAUACCCUAGUAGUCC